This 497-nucleotide ribosomal RNA is filed under the name uncultured bacterium. Its description in RNAcentral is "partial 16S ribosomal RNA". It matches the Rfam family "Bacterial small subunit ribosomal RNA", at positions 28 to 507 of the family's 1533-position model. The record is from RNAcentral.
GACGAACGCUGGCGGCGUGCCUAAUACAUGCAAGUAGAACGCUGAAGAGAGGAGCUUGCUCUUCUUGGAUGAGUUGCGAGCGGGUGAGUAACGCGUAGGUAACCUGCCUUGUAGCGGGGGAUAACUAUUGGAAACGAUAGCUAAUACCGCAUAACAAUGGAUGACACAUGUCAUUUAUUUGAAAGGGGCAAUUGUUCCACUACAAGAUGGACCUGCGUUGUAUUAGCUAGUAGGUGAGGUAAUGGCUCACCUAGGCGACGAUACAUAGCCGACCUGAGAGGGUGAUCGGCCACACUGGGACUGAGACACGGCCCAGACUCCUACGGGAGGCAGCAGUAGGGAAUCUUCGGCAAUGGGGGCAACCCUGACCGAGCAACGCCGCGUGAGUGAAGAAGGUUUUCGGAUCGUAAAGCUCUGUUGUAAGUCAAGAACGGGUGUGAGAGUGGAAAGUUCACACUGUGACGGUAGCUUACCAGAAAGGGACGGCUAACUACGUG